GUGCCAGCCGCCGCGGUAAUACGUAGGUGGCAAGCGUUGUCCGGAUUUAUUGGGCGUAUAGCGAGCGCAGGCGGUUUCUUAAGUCUGAUGUGAAAGCCUUCGGCUCAACCGAAGAAGUGCAUCGGAAACUGGGAAACUUGAGUGCAGAAGAGGACAGUGGAACUCCAUGUGUAGCGGUGAAAUGCGUAGAUAUAUGGAAGAACACCAGUGGCGAAGGCGGCUGUCUGGUCUGUAACUGACGCUGAGGCUCGAAAGCAUGGGUAGCAAACAGGAUUAGAUACCCUGGUAGUCCAUGCCGUAAACGAUGAGUGCUAGGUGUUGGAGGGUUUCCGCCCUUCAGUGCCGCAGCUAACGCAUUAAGCACUCCGCCUGGGGAGUACGACCGCAAGGUUGAAACUCAAAGGAAUUGACGGGGGCCCGCACAAGCGGUGGAGCAUGUGGCUUAAUUCGAAGCAACGCGAAGAACCUUACCAGGUCUUGACAUCCUUUGACCACUCUAGAGAUAGAGCUUUCCCUUCGGGGACAAAGUGACAGGUGGUGCAUGGUUGUCGUCAGCUCGUGUCGUGAGAUGUUGGGUUAAGUCCCGCAACGAGCGCAACCCUUAUUACUAGUUGCCAGCAUUUAGUUGGGCACUCUAGUGAGACUGCCGGUGACAAACCGGAGGAAGGUGGGGACGACGUCAAAUCAUCAUGCCCCUUAUGACCUGGGCUACACACGUGCUACAAUGGAUGGUACAACGAGUUGCGAGACCGCGAGGUUUAGCUAAUCUCUUAAAACCAUUCUCAGUUCGGAUUGUAGGCUGCAACUCGCCUACAUGAAGCCGGAAUCGCUAGUAAUCGCGGAUCAGCAUGCCGCGGUGAAUACGUUCCCGGGCCUUGUACACACCGCCCGU
RNAcentral lists this ribosomal RNA (892 nucleotides) under uncultured bacterium. RNAcentral describes it as "bacterial SSU rRNA". It matches the Rfam family "Bacterial small subunit ribosomal RNA", at positions 505 to 1397 of the family's 1533-position model. The record is from RNAcentral.